This 492-nucleotide ribosomal RNA is filed under the name uncultured bacterium. RNAcentral's name for it is "partial 16S ribosomal RNA". It matches the Rfam family "Bacterial small subunit ribosomal RNA", at positions 29 to 507 of the family's 1533-position model. The record is from RNAcentral.
AGUGAACGCUGGCGGUAGGCCUAACACAUGCAAGUCGAACGGCAGCACAGUAAGAGCUUGCUCUUACGGGUGGCGAGUGGCGGACGGGUGAGGAAUACAUCGUAAUCUACUUUUUCGUGGGGGAUAACGUAGGGAAACUUACGCUAAUACCGCAUACGACCUACGGGUGAAAGCAGGGGAUCUUCGGACCUUGCGCGAUUGAAUGAGCCGAUGUCGGGUUAGCUAGUGGGCGGGGUAAAGGCCCACCAAGGCGACGAUCCGCAGCUGGUCUGAGAGGAUGAUAGGCCACACUGGAACUGAGACACGGUCCAGACUCCUACGGGAGGCAGCAGUGGGGAAUAUUGGACAAUGGGCGCAAGCCUGAUCCAGCCAGACCGCGUGGGUGAAGAAGGCCUUGGGGUUGUAAAGCCCUUUUGUUGGGAAAGAAAAGCAGCAGGUUAAUACCCCGCUGUUCUGACGGUACCCAAAGAAUAAGCACCGGCUAACUUCGUG